Non-coding RNA from Coturnix japonica (Japanese quail), 695 nucleotides. NCBI's taxonomy places the organism in Eukaryota, Metazoa, Chordata, Aves, Galliformes, Phasianidae. The record is from RefSeq and is a predicted model, not a curated record.
UGGCUCCACCUCUCCUAGAUCUCAUUUAAGGGCUGACCACCACUAAGGCAGGAUCUCUUUCUGGAGAUUGCUAUUUUGUGGAGUUUACAGCGAGCCUCAACAUUGGAUUAGCAUCAGUGUCCUCUUCAAAAUCUUCGCUGUAGCUUUCUGAAGAGUAAAAUAAACAUCAAUCAGAUGAAAUAUCCAGGGAAGAUAAAAGAGUACGGGGAAAGCUAUUUCUUUUCCCCAAUCUUCAGGCUAAGAACAUCUACUGCUGCUAUUACUCUUUGUGAGAAAUAUCAACCUACGCUUUAUCCACAGCAACAGGGAGAUAAGGAAACAGAAGUCAGCUGGCUUACACAUCACACUGAAGAAGGUUCACUGAGGAUGCUGGCCUAUGCUCUGAACCUAAAACCUAGCAAGUGCUAAGCUAUUUUCUGCUUAGUAGGACAAGUCAACACAGAGAAAAAAACAAUCUAAAAGCCUGUGGCAUCAUUUCCCUUUUCCAGACUUUUAAAUUAUAUCCUGCUAUAAUAUGAAGAGUUGCUUUCCUCUGAUGCCCUUCUAGAAGACUUUGCAUUUGAAUUGCAGUAUUAAUCCACAGAUUGCGUUACUGCUACUGUUUAAUGAACCUCUCAUAAUUAAUAGCAUAGACAGUAAAAAAGAUAAUAAUAAUUUUAAAAAAGCAAGAUUUUUCAAGUGAACAGCUUAGAAAC